UACAGAGGGUGCAAGCGUUAAUCGGAUUUACUGGGCGUAAAGCGCGCGUAGGCGGCUAAUUAAGUCAAAUGUGAAAUCCCCGAGCUUAACUUGGGAAUUGCAUUCGAUACUGGUUAGCUAGAGUGUGGGAGAGGAUGGUAGAAUUCCAGGUGUAGCGGUGAAAUGCGUAGAGAUCUGGAGGAAUACCGAUGGCGAAGGCAGCCAUCUGGCCUAACACUGACGCUGAGGUGCGAAAGCAUGGGGAGCAAACAGGAUUAGAUACCCUAGUAGUCC
RNAcentral lists this ribosomal RNA (273 nucleotides) under uncultured Acinetobacter sp. RNAcentral describes it as "partial 16S ribosomal RNA". It matches the Rfam family "Bacterial small subunit ribosomal RNA", at positions 524 to 796 of the family's 1533-position model. Lineage: Bacteria; Pseudomonadati; Pseudomonadota; Gammaproteobacteria; Moraxellales; Moraxellaceae. The record is from RNAcentral.